Molecule: ribosomal RNA, 465 nt
Filed under: uncultured bacterium
Lineage: Bacteria
Description: partial 16S ribosomal RNA
Rfam family: Bacterial small subunit ribosomal RNA
Source: RNAcentral
GAUGAACGCUGGCGGCGUGCUUAACACAUGCAAGUCGAACGAUGAAGCCCAGCUUGCUGGGUGGAUUAGUGGCGAACGGGUGAGUAACACGUGAGUAACCUGCCCUUUACUCUGGGAUAAGCCUGGGAAACUGGGUCUAAUACUGGAUAUGACUUCUCAUCGCAUGGUGGGGGUGGAAAGAUUUAUUGGUCUUGGAUGGACUCGCGGCCUAUCAGCGUGUUGGUGAGGUAAUGGCUCACGAAGGCGACGACGGGUAGCCGGCUUGAGAGGGUGACCGGCCACAAUGGGACUAAGACACCGCCCGGACACCUACGGGAGGCAGCAGUUGGGAAUAUUGCACAAUGGGCGCAAGCCUGAUGCAGCGACGCCCCGUGAGGGAUGACGGCCUUCGGGUUGUAAACCUCUUUCAGUAGGGAAGAAGCGAGAGUGACGGUACCUGCAGAAGAAGCGCCGGCUAACUACGUG